UAUUUUCUGCAAUGCAGCCAUGCCUGACGGAGAAAGCCGACUGAGGGAGUAGGCCUUUGGGUUGAAACCUUUUUCUCAAGGAUAAAGAUCCGACGGUACAGAGGAAUAAGCAUCGGCUAAUUCCUUCCAUCAGCCGCGGUAGACGGAGGAUGCAAGCAUUAUCCGGAAUUAUUGGGCGUAUAGCGUCGGUAGGUGGCAGGCCAAGUCUGUUUUUAAAGAGUACAGCUCAACUGUAUAAAGGGAAUGGAAUCUGGUCAGUUAGAGUUCGGUAGGGGCAGAGGGAAUUCCCGGUGUAGCGGUGAAAUGCGUAGAUAUCGGGAAGAACACCAGUGGCGAAAGCGCCCUAUGGGCCUGAACUGACAUUGAUGGACGAAAGCUAGGGGAGCGAAAGAAAUUAGAUACCCCUGUGUCCUAGCCGUA
RNAcentral lists this ribosomal RNA (420 nucleotides) under uncultured marine bacterium. Its description in RNAcentral is "bacterial SSU rRNA". It matches the Rfam family "Bacterial small subunit ribosomal RNA", at positions 359 to 804 of the family's 1533-position model. The record is from RNAcentral.